Daktulosphaira vitifoliae (grape phylloxera) is the source of this 1115-nucleotide long non-coding RNA. RefSeq lists it as uncharacterized. The transcript has 2 exons. The record is from RefSeq and is a predicted model, not a curated record. NCBI's taxonomy places the organism in Eukaryota, Metazoa, Arthropoda, Insecta, Hemiptera, Phylloxeridae.
AUUUAUAAAAUAAAUUUAAGAAAAUAUUCAUCAUAGUUGCAAACUCGAAUUUUUAUUUAAAUAUAAUUUUUAUGAAUAUUGUAUGCGUUAAAAAAAGUCAUGAAUAAUAAUAUGAAAAAAUAGAAAAGGCUGACAUAGUUAAUUUUAAAACUAAAAUGUAACAUUUUAUUUAUUUAUCAGUGUUCUUAGGUAAUCACUAAACUUGUAACAAAAUCUUGUCUUUUAACCUGAAUUAAGUGUAUAAUGUCGUGCACAGAUUUUAGUAUUUUUUUUUUUAAGAAAAUUUUAUAAUGGUAUUUAAUAUAUUUCUAAAUAUUUUUUUUUACCUACAACAAAUUAUAAUUAUCAUGUUUUUUAUUUGUAAAUAAAAUCCAAGAAUGUAGUAGUUCAUCUCUCAGUAUUAUCUGUAUCAUUAAGUGAUGACACUUGAUAAUCUCAGGAUUUCUGAAUAUUAUCAACUUUUAAUUUUCUUUUGUAAAAUGUGGUGGGGUUUAAGAAAAGGGAGAUUGUUGUUGGUCACGUUUUGGUGAUAAAGUAGUUGCAGUACAUAAACGGAUUAGUCAUGACAAAAUAGAUAGGUAUGUCAGCAACUUUGUGAUACGCAACCCACUCUUCACCCUAUCUAUAGCUGGUUCGCCUCAUUUCAUUGGCCGAAUAUUUGUAUGGUCAUUUUCCAUAAAUAUAGUGAUAAUAUUAUCAUUUAUGCAUUAAUAUUUAAUAUUGUGCAAAAAUAAUUUGUAACGUAUAGAGGAACAAUGGAAAAUUAUGUAUAUAAUAUACUUAAUACUUAGAAAUGCUUUCAUUGAAUUAAUUAAUAUAUAAUUUGCUUCACAUUAGUGUUACUUUCUUUUUUAUAAAGCCAAGAGGUUGGUUUGUUAGCACAGUACUUUAAGGCGAACUGGCCUAAUGUUACUUGGAGCUUUUGACAGAUUGUCACCAUGCAGACUUCUGAAAUAUAUUUUUUAUGAAGAAUAAGUUGAAUCUGAGUUGGUAUAAAGAAUUGUGAUAAAAUAUCACUACAGUGAUUUUCAAAACGAUGAUCUUCCAAAUUAAUGAAAUUAUUGUAACAUUUAAGUUUAUUUAUUACAGCAAUAUAAUUUGUUUUUAAAACAAAA